AACGUAGGAGACAAACGUUAUCCGGAGUUACUGGGCGUAAAGGGCGUGUAGGCGGUCUGUUAAGUCUGGCGUGAAAGCUCUCGGCUAAACCGGGAGAGGUCGUUGGAUACUGGCAGACUAGAGGACGGUAGAGGCGUGUGGAAUUCCGGGUGUAGUGGUGAAAUGCGUAGAGAUCCGGAGGAACACCAGUGGCGAAGGCAGCUCGCUGGGACGGUACUGACGCUGAGGCGCGAAAGCGUGGGGAGCGAACAGG
RNAcentral lists this ribosomal RNA (253 nucleotides) under uncultured bacterium. Its description in RNAcentral is "partial 16S ribosomal RNA". It matches the Rfam family "Bacterial small subunit ribosomal RNA", at positions 524 to 776 of the family's 1533-position model. The record is from RNAcentral.